UACGGGGGGGGCAAGCGUUGUUCGGAAUUACUGGGCGUAAAGGGCUCGUAGGUGGCCAACUAAGUCAGACGUGAAAUCCCCAGGCUCAACUUGGGAACUGCGUCUGAUACUGGAUGGCUUGAAUUCGGGAGAGGGAUGCAGAAUUCCAGGUGUAGCGGUGAAAUGCGUAGAUAUCAGGAGGAACACCGGUGGCGAAGGCGGUUCUCUGGGCCGAUACUGACGCUGAGGAGCGAAAGCGUGGGGAGCGAACAGG
Molecule: ribosomal RNA, 253 nt
Filed under: uncultured bacterium
Lineage: Bacteria
Description: partial 16S ribosomal RNA
Rfam family: Bacterial small subunit ribosomal RNA
Source: RNAcentral